Molecule: ribosomal RNA, 253 nt
Filed under: uncultured bacterium
Lineage: Bacteria
Description: partial 16S ribosomal RNA
Rfam family: Bacterial small subunit ribosomal RNA
Source: RNAcentral
UACGGAGGGUGCAAGCGUUAUCCGGAUUCACUGGGUUUAAAGGGUGCGUAGGCGGGUAAGUAAGUCCGUGGUGAAAUCUCUGAGCUUAACUCAGAAACUGCCGUGGAUACUAUUUGCCUUGAAUAUUGUGGAGGUGAGCGGAAUAUGUCAUGUAGCGGUGAAAUGCUUAGAUAUGACAUAGAACACCAAUUGCGAAGGCAGCUCACUGCACAAUCAUUGACGCUGAGGCACGAAAGCGUGGGGAUCAAACAGG